RNAcentral lists this transfer RNA (85 nucleotides) under Felis catus (domestic cat). It matches the Rfam family "tRNA". Rfam says of the family: Transfer RNA (tRNA) molecules are approximately 80 nucleotides in length. Their secondary structure includes four short double-helical elements and three loops (D, anti-codon, and T loops). Further hydrogen bonds mediate the characteristic L-shaped molecular structure. tRNAs have two regions of fundamental functional importance: the anti-codon, which is responsible for specific mRNA codon recognition, and the 3' end, to which the tRNAs corresponding amino acid is attached (by aminoacyl-tRNA synthetases). tRNAs cope with the degeneracy of the genetic code in two manners: having more than one tRNA (with a specific anti-codon) for a particular amino acid; and 'wobble' base-pairing, i.e. permitting non-standard base-pairing at the 3rd anti-codon position. Lineage: Eukaryota; Metazoa; Chordata; Mammalia; Carnivora; Felidae. The record is from Rfam by way of RNAcentral.
ACCUGGGUGGCUCAGUCGGUUGAGCGUCCGACUUCAGCUCAGGUCAUGGUCUCGGGUUUUGUGGGUUCAAGCCCCAUGUCGGGCU